RNAcentral lists this non-coding RNA (124 nucleotides) under Sciurus vulgaris (Eurasian red squirrel). The record is from RNAcentral. Lineage: Eukaryota; Metazoa; Chordata; Mammalia; Rodentia; Sciuridae.
GGGGUGUAUGAAAGAAGAGAAGGUUAUUCUAUUUUGUCAAGAAUGGAAGAGACCCUUGAGCCUGACCACACGGAUAUUGUUAAGACAUCACCACCCACUUUAUAGCAUCUAACCAUUGCUUUUU